AGAGUUUGAUCCUGUCUCAGGACGAACGCGGCGGCUUGCUUAACACAUGCAGAGUCGAACGGAAAGGCCCUUCGGGGUACUCGAGUGGCGAACGGGUGAGUAACACGUGGGUGAUCUGCCCUGCACUUUGGGAUAAGCCUGGGAAACUGGGUCUAAUACCGGAUAGGACCACGCGCUUCAUGGUGUGUGGUGGAAAGCUUUUGCGGUGUGGGAUGGGCCCGCGGCCUAUCAGCUUGUUGGUGGGGUAAUGGCCUACCAAGGCGACGACGGGUAGCCGGCCUGAGAGGGUGACCGGCCACACUGGGACUGAGAUACGGCCCAGACUCCUACGGGAGGCAGCAGUGGGGAAUAUUGCACAAUGGGCGCAAGCCUGAUGCAGCGACGCCGCGUGAGGGAUGACGGCCUUCGGGUUGUAAACCUCUUUCAAUAGGGACGAAGCGCAAGUGACGGUACCUAUAGAAGAAGGACCGGCCAACUACGUGCCAGCAGCCGCGGUAAUACGUAGGGUCCGAGCGUUGUCCGGAAUUACUGGGCGUAAAGAGCUCGUAGGUGGUUUGUCGCGUUGUUCGUGAAAACUCACAGCUUAACUGUGGGCGUGCGGGCGAUACGGGCAGACUAGAGUACUGCAGGGGAGACUGGAAUUCCUGGUGUAGCGGUGGAAUGCGCAGAUAUCAGGAGGAACACCGGUGGCGAAGGCGGGUCUCUGGGCAGUAACUGACGCUGAGGAGCGAAAGCGUGGGGAGCGAACAGGAUUAGAUACCCUGGUAGUCCACGCCGUAAACGGUGGGUACUAGGUGUGGGUUUCCUUCCUUGGGAUCCGUGCCGUAGCUAACGCAUUAAGUACCCCGCCUGGGGAGUACGGCCGCAAGGCUAAAACUCAAAGGAAUUGACGGGGGCCCGCACAAGCGGCGGAGCACCUGGAUUAAUUCGAUGCAACGCGAAGAACCUUACCUG
This 954-nucleotide ribosomal RNA is filed under the name uncultured bacterium. RNAcentral's name for it is "bacterial SSU rRNA". It matches the Rfam family "Bacterial small subunit ribosomal RNA", at positions 8 to 977 of the family's 1533-position model. The record is from RNAcentral.